Leopardus geoffroyi (Geoffroy's cat) is the source of this 1165-nucleotide long non-coding RNA. RefSeq lists it as uncharacterized. The record is from RefSeq and is a predicted model, not a curated record. The transcript has 5 exons. Lineage: Eukaryota; Metazoa; Chordata; Mammalia; Carnivora; Felidae.
GCCUUUCCUCUUGAACAUAGAGGAUAUGAUAGCUGGAGCUGCAGCAGCCAUCCUGAUGUCUGUCGUCAACAAGAAUGAAAAGCAAGGCCUCCAUAGUAGUGAUGGUGGAAAAGAAAGUGAGAAGAUUUGCAACCUCAUGGAAUUGGUGAAUACCUGGAGAGACACCAUCUGAUCCAGAACUUAUUAUCAGAGGAGAAAAUAGUCUCCUGUUUGUUCCUGUGUCUGAUCAUCAUGUGUGUGAUUCCUGUGUGAAUUUCCCAGAAAACUGGAGGCGAAGCAUCAGCCUUUUUGUAGCUGACAUUGAGGCUUAUCUGCUGGGUCACCUUGUUGACAUAUGACAGUGACCACAUUGCAAUGGCUGCACCUUUCAUCCUCCUUCAGCUUCUGACUCCUGUGCCAGCAUUUCGAUCAUUCAGACUGAGUUUGGAUUAGAGUCUGCGACAUGGUUCUUACUGGAAUCUCCAGGCUUCUGUCCUGUCCUGUAGCGACUAGACCUGCCGCCCCACAACUGCAUGAACCACUUCUCAUUGUCUCACAUCCGGAUGGCCAACCCUUCCUGCGUGAUAGAAGCCCUGAUGCCAGGCUCACCCCAUCUCCAGGUGCUUUGCCAGGUGAUCUCUGCUGUCCCCUGGUGGCCACUCCACACUGACUCUGGGAGGCUCGGGGAACUCCUUUGUCCAGGUGAUGAAGAACCCACAGCUCAGAACCUGAUUUGCUGAUCCCUUGACUGCUGGCUCCAGAGGAGGAAUUGCUCUUUUCUCCAAUGCCCUGUCAGCCUCAAGACCAGGCAGGAGGAGAUCAGAUUAUCCAUGAAAACAAGAACAGGCUCAUCUGAGGAAGACAAGGUCUCACAUCCGGAUGGCCAACCCUUCCUGCGUGAUAGAAGCCCUGAUGCCAGGCUCACCCCAUCUCCAGGUGCUUUGCCAGGUGAUCUCUGCUGUCCCCUGGUGGCCACUCCACACUGACUCUGGGAGGCUCGGGGAACUCCUUUGUCCAGGUGAUGAAGAACCCACAGCUCAGAACCUGAUUUGCUGAUCCCUUGACUGCUGGCUCCAGAGGAGGAAUUGCUCUUUUCUCCAAUGCCCUGUCAGCCUCAAGACCAGGCAGGAGGAGAUCAGAUUAUCCAUGAAAACAAGAACAGGCUCAUCUGAGGAAGACAAGGUAA